This is a long non-coding RNA of Mytilus trossulus (common blue mussel), 999 nucleotides long. RefSeq lists it as uncharacterized. Lineage: Eukaryota; Metazoa; Mollusca; Bivalvia; Mytilida; Mytilidae. The transcript has 4 exons. The record is from RefSeq and is a predicted model, not a curated record.
UAAGGAUGACGACGACGACGACGACGACGACACCAAUGAUGAUGAUGAUGCUUUAGCUGCUACUACUGAUGAUUUUAAAUUUGACGACGACGAUGACGACAGCACUGAUAACGUGAAUUUACCACGACUUUACAGAAAUAACUUAUCUAAUGUGAAAAAUACAGAUCUAUCGAAAAGAGAAAAACUGAAAAAAUUAUUCAACGAAAGAGCCAAAAAAACAGAGCUGAAUGAUGCCGAAUCUGAUCAUAGUCACGAUAAAGACGGUAGCACCUCUACAGAAGAAAAUACCUGUCGGUUUUGGACAUAUGUGGACGACGAAGAUCUUGAGGCACGAAAUGCUUUCCAGCCUAAAACUGGGAAAAGAUGUAGAAAGAAGACAACGGUAUUAGACAUUUAAAUUCAUGAAUUCAAUUUAGGUGACAACAAUUGAGUGGUAUCAUUAAAUACAAUUUGAAACUCUAGAAUGCUUUUGUAGUUGUUAUAUAGUAUUUAUUUUGUAUAUUUGUUCAAUAUAAGUAAAGUCGCAAACUUCAUAAAAACAUUUAAAGUAAUUAUUUAUUUUAUCUUUAUUAAAAAGAACGUGUUUUUAAGUUAUUUUGUUAAUCUGAUAGUCGAUAUAAGCUUAAAACAAUAAAGACAACGGCACCUGUUUAGUUUAUUCACCAACAACAUUACAAUGUGGAUGUGGUUAAUUAUAAUAUCAAUUACAGUACCAAAUGUAUAAAUGACAAGCUGUCCUAGCAAGUUAUGUAAUAAAAAUAAACUCAAGCAUUAACAAUUUAGUGGUAACAAGGUCAUUAUUGUUUACAAAUUGUAAAUUUCGGUUAAUGGUUAUUAUUGCUGUGAAUAACUUGAAACAUGCGUAUCCGUUUACAGUUUUUUAUAUGAUUUCUAAUGACUCUCUUAAAAGAUUUUAAAUACGCAUCAAUAACAAAAUUGUUAAGUUUUAAUUUUAAGAUAUCGACAAAGUAUUUCAGUCCUUGUGGUUUCUUAUUAAAA